CCAAACGGGGGAUUGCCUCAGUACGGCGAGUGAAGCGGCAAAAGCUCAAAUUUGAAAUCUGGCGCCUUCGGUGCCCGAGUUGUAAUUUGUAGAAGGCGACUUUUGGGGCCGGUUCUUGUCUAUGUUCCUUGGAACAGGACGUCAUGGAGGGUGAGAAUCCCGUAUGGCGAGGACUUGAGCUCCUUGUAAAGCGCUUUCGAAGAGUCGAGUUGUUUGGGAAUGCAGCUCUAAGUGGGUGGUAAAUUCCAUCUAAAGCUAAAUACAGGCGAGAGACCGAUAGCGAACAAGUACAGUGAUGGAAAGAUGAAAAGAACUUUGAAAAGAGAGUGAAAAAGUACGUGAAAUUGUUGAAAGGGAAGGGCAUUUGAUCAGACAUGGCGUUUUGCGCCCUUUGCUCCUUGUGGGCGGAGGAAUCUCGCAGCUCGCUGGGCCAGCAUCGGUUUUUGCGGCAGCAGAAAACCUAGGGAACGUAGCUUGUGUCUUUGACUCAAGAACUUAUAGCCCUGGGGAAUACUGCCAGCGGGGACCGAGGACUGCGGUGCUUGUCACCAAGGAUGCUGGCAUAAUGGUUAUAUGCGCCCCGUCUAAAAAAGGGGGGCCAAAAAAAAAAAGGGAAAUUAAAAGAAAAAAGGGA
This 634-nucleotide ribosomal RNA is filed under the name Zygotorulaspora florentina. Its description in RNAcentral is "partial 26S ribosomal RNA". It matches the Rfam family "Eukaryotic large subunit ribosomal RNA", at positions 65 to 664 of the family's 3401-position model. Lineage: Eukaryota; Fungi; Ascomycota; Saccharomycetes; Saccharomycetales; Saccharomycetaceae. The record is from RNAcentral.